CUUAAAACGGGAAUGGACCUUGAUAAGAAUUUUGGUAGGUUAUAGAUUCCAUAGCUGAAAGUUGGAGGGAGAGAUGCAGAGAGAUAUGGAGGUGCUGAGUACUCUGGGGGACUUCACGAGCAAGGAGAACUGGGACAAGUUCUUCACUCUUCGUGGCAUUAACGACCCAUUCGAGUGGUACGCCGAAUGGUCCAUUCUCCAAACCCCUCUCCUCAAUCAACUCCAAUCAAACUCCGCCAAACAAGAAGAGCCCAUUCAAAUUCUGGUUCCUGGAUGUGGAAACUCCCGCCUUUCCGAGCAACUAUAUGAUUCAGGUUUCCACUCCAUCACCAACAUUGAUUUCUCAAAAGUUGUGGUCUCCGACAUGCUUCGCAACCACAUCCGCUCCCGCCCCAACAUGCGAUGGCGCGUCAUGGACAUGACCCAAAUGCAGUUUGCGGAUGGGUCCUUCGACGUGGUUCUUGAUAAAGGUGGAUUGGAUGCUCUGAUGGAGCCACAACUUGGCCCAAAACUAGGGAGCCAGUACCUUUCAGAGGUAAAGAGAGUCUUGAAAGUAGGUGGAAAAUAUAUCUGUCUCACCCUGGCAGAGUCUCAUGUUAUAGAGUUGCUUUUAUCGAAGUUCAGGUUUGGAUGGCACAUCAGUCUUGAGGCCAUAUUGAACAAACCAUCUAACAAAUCCAACUUCCAAACAUUUCUUGUGGUUGUUGCAAGAGAGAAUUCGAGCAUAGUUUCUCCCAUUGUUCCAUCUUUUGACAGUGAUUCUCUUGAUUGCGACGGAAAUCAGAUUCAUGGUUUAUUGAAAACAAUUAAUAGUGAGAACAAAAUUCGUGCCGAAUUCUCCUCAGAUAUUGAUGUAUUAUAUUCUCUAGAAGAUUUGCAACUAGGAGCUAAAGGGGAUUUAAAUCGACUUAUCCCUGGCCGUAGAUUUUCUCUUACUUUGGGGGAUUUUGCGACAUCUCAUUUCAGCUACAAAGCCAUACUAAUGGACUCCAAGCAACCCUCUGAGGCUGAGCCAUUCCUAUAUCAAUGUGGGGUUUUCAUUGUUCCCAAGACACGAGCUCAUGAGUGGCUCUUCUGUUCAGAAGAAGGACAAUGGAUGGUUGUUGAAAGUGCAAAAGUGGCUCGUCUAAUCAUGGUAUUCUUAGGCUCUGAGCACAACAAUGUUGGCAUGGACACUAUCCAGAAGGACCUCUCUCCACUAGUAAAAACGUUGGCACCUGAGCAUCCUGAUAAUGGAGAUCAAAUCCCGUUCAUGAUGGCUAAUGAUGGUGUGAAGCAGCGAAAUAUUGUUCAGCAGGUUACAUCUCCUACAACUGGACUAAUAAUUGUUGAAGAUGUGAUAUAUGAAGAGAGUCCUAAUGGUACUAAUUCCAUUCCAUUAAAAGCUUUGGUCUUCCGCCGUCUCACUUUUGAGAGAAGCUUGGGUUUGGUGCAAUCUGAAUGCUUGCUUAAGGAAAUGGAGCCUUGCCAGAAAGAUGUUGCCAAGAUUGCGAAAAAGAAAAAGAAGUCACGUCAUAAAUCAGACGAAAAUAUACGUAAAAAAAGAGCUGACUCAAGCUUUUCAAAAGAAUCCAGAAACAAUCUGAAAGUUGAUCAUUCCUAUUUGGCUAGUUCGUAUCACAGUGGAAUCAUUGCUGGGUUUGCAUUGAUAUCUUCUGCACUAGAAAAUAUGGCUUUGGCCAGGACAAUGGUUAAUACCUUUAUAAUUGGUCUUGGAGCUGGUCUCCUUCCCAUGUUUUUGCAUAAACAUUUUCCAUUGAUGGAUAUUGAGGUGGUAGAGUUGGACCCAAUUGUUCUAGAUCUGGCGCGAAAUCACUUUGACUUCAUAGAGGAUAUACAUUUGAAGGUACAAAUUGCUGAUGGAAUAAAGUUUGUCAGAGAGAUGACAACUGCUUCCACUUUGUCAAAUAGGGAUGACACAUCUGGAAAUGAUAUUUACUGUGAAGCGAACUUACCUUCACUUCAAGGAAGUAAAGGACCUCACAUACUUAUCAUUGAUGCCGAUUCAGCUGAUUUAAGCACCGGGUUGACAUGUCCUCCUGCAGAUUUUACUGAGAAGUCUUUUCUUCUCUCUGUGAAAGAAGCACUUUCUUCUGAGGGCCUCUUCAUCAUUAACUUGGUUUCAAGAUCCUCUUCCAUUCAUGAGAUGGUUGUUUCAAGAUUGAAAACUGUUUUCAGUCACAUUUUCUUUUUGGAGAUUGAGGAAGAUGUGAAUAAGGUUUUAUUUGUGCUCCCCAAAGAGCCAUGUAUUGAGGGUGAUCACUUGAUGGAAGCAGCUGGUCGACUUGAGAAGCUCUUGAAAACCAGCCCAUCUGAGAAAGGCCCAAAUAUCAGAGACACGGCAAGGAGGAUCAAGCGCCUAUAAGUGGGGCACUGAUAUCUGGCCCUCUCUUUGAGCUAGCCAAUCCUCCUGGAGCUGUGGAAAGUAAAUCGUGAAAAAUGACAGCACUAAAUUUGAAAUCUCCCCGUGAUACUGCAUAAUCUCCUAAGAGCCUAACAUUCCCAUCUUAGCCUCCUUAAUGCGUUAGUGCAUUAAGAGAGCCGGCCUCAUCUUUAAGGACUUGAAAAGCUAUGUUUGCCUGAAGAGGAAACUGGCAAAGGGGGACAAGAAAAGAUCAAGUUUGGAAAGCAACAGAAACGUUGCAGAAACCAACCAAAUCACGAGGAAGAGACACUAGGCGUCAUAGCCUUGAGGCACUUGGUGGCUACCCUGCCGUCAAGCUUCAAGCUUAGUUUGAGAUACGACCCAAUCUGUCCUCAUCAUGCAGGGAAUGUCAACCAUUUUACAGUCCCAUAUUGGUUGAUGUCUAGUGAUGAAUUUUGAUGACACAAGAUUGAUUUACAGAUUGAUCUCUAUUGAAUAUUGACUGGUAUUUCCCAAAUUCUCUCUUGUUUGGUACAAACUAUUAGACCAUGUGUAAUUAUUUGCCCAUCAUAUUGUGAGUGUUUGCUUAUACAUGACCAAA
Amborella trichopoda is the source of this 2966-nucleotide RNA transcript. It is a transcript of the gene named S-adenosyl-L-methionine-dependent methyltransferases superfamily protein, with no coding region annotated. The record is from RefSeq and is a predicted model, not a curated record. Lineage: Eukaryota; Viridiplantae; Streptophyta; Magnoliopsida; Amborellales; Amborellaceae.